CGCCCCAAAAGAAAUUUUAAUAUAUCAACACCCGGGGAUAACAAACUUUUCCCAUGGGCGGAAAAUUUAGGUGGGUGCCCUCGAGAAUAAAACAAACCUCCGGUAUUUAAAUCUAUACUAACUAGUCGAAAGUACUACAUCACUUAUUGAGCCAAAAACUUGAUCAACGGACAAAGUUACCCUAGGGAUAACAGCUCUCUCGAGGGCUUUACUGUCUCUUACUUYCAAUCCGUGAAAUUGACCUUCCCGUGAAGAGGCGGGUAUAUAUGACAAUAAGACGAGAAGACCCUAUGGAGCUUUAAUUAACCGACCCAAAGAGAUCUUGAUAAUCAACCGACAGGGAUAACAUACCUCUACCAUGGGCCGACAAUUUAGGUUGGGGUGACCUCGGAGAAUAAAACAACCUCCGAGUGAUUUAAAUCUAGACUAACUAGUCGAAAGUACUACAUCACUUAUUGAUCCAAAAACUUKAUCCAAMRRAAMACAGUUACCCUAGGGAUAACAGCGCAAUCCUAUUUUAGAGUCCAUAUCGACAAUAGGAUUGCGCUGUUAUCCCUAGGGUGUCUUGUUCGGUUGGUCAAGUUUUUGGAUAAUAAGGGGUUGAGGACUUUCGAGUAGUGAGUGUAGAUUUAAAUCACUCGGAGGGUGGUUUAUUCUCCGAGGUCACCCCAACCUAAAUUGUCGGCCCAUGGUAGAGGUAUGUUAUCCCUGUCGGUUGAUUAUCAAAAUCUCUUUGGGUCGGUUAAAUAAAGCUCCAUAAGGUCUUCUCUCUUAAUUGUCAUAUUCCCCCCUCUUCACGGGGAAGGUCAUUUCACGGAUAUGGAAGUAAGAGACAGUAAAGCCUCGAG
Molecule: ribosomal RNA, 848 nt
Filed under: Panthera onca (jaguar)
Lineage: Eukaryota; Metazoa; Chordata; Mammalia; Carnivora; Felidae
Description: partial 16S ribosomal RNA
Source: RNAcentral